Molecule: ribosomal RNA, 253 nt
Filed under: uncultured bacterium
Lineage: Bacteria
Description: partial 16S ribosomal RNA
Rfam family: Bacterial small subunit ribosomal RNA
Source: RNAcentral
UACGAAGGGGGCGAGCGUUGUUCGGAAUUAUUGGGCGUAAAGAGCGCGUAGGCGGUCCGAUAAGUCGGCUGUGAAAGUCAGGGGCUCAACCCUUGAAAGCCGGCCGAUACUGUCGGACUAGAGUCCGGAAGAGGCGAGUGGAAUUCCCGGUGUAGCGGUGAAAUGCGCAGAUAUCAGGAAGAACACCCGUGGCGAAGGCGGCUCUCUGGGACGGUACUGACGCCGAGACGCGAAAGCGUGGGGAGCGAACAGG